RNAcentral lists this long non-coding RNA (1468 nucleotides) under Panax ginseng (ginseng). Its description in RNAcentral is "long non-coding RNA (PGIN_LNC018419)". The record is from RNAcentral. Lineage: Eukaryota; Viridiplantae; Streptophyta; Magnoliopsida; Apiales; Araliaceae.
AUGAGUUAGCUUAACUUUAGAGGAUGGUUAGGUUAGUUGGUGGAGAAUUUAAAUAACUUAGAUUAUCCAACACUUAAAUCCUUUCAUCUUCACUUUCAAGAGCUAGAGAGAGAGAGAGAGCAAGAGAGAAUAUAAUAGAGAGAGAGAGAAAGCAGGAGCAGAAGAAGGAAGGAAAAGAGGAUCAAGGUCAUUAUCUUUAAUCACCUAGAAGAGAACUACAAGGGUAAGCCAUGAAAACCCUAACUUCUAUUUCAUUAUUUAAAGUUUUAUUUUGAGUAAUUUUUGGUGGUUAUUGUUGUUAAUGGAAGAUUAUGAAGGAUCUUAGAGUUAUAAGGUUGGUGUGGUAUAUAACCUUGUAAACUAUUGGUAAUAUGCAUGAAAAGUGGAACAAAAGAAAUAAAAAUGUAAGCCUAUGCUUAAAGGAUGGAAAACCUAAUUAGUGGACUGUUAUAUGGACUUAAAUUAAUAAUGGACCAAAGCUUGAAAUGAAAAUAUGGAAAGAUAGGUUUGUACUUCAAUGAGUUACGAAGUCAUCUCAAGUGGAACAAAAGAAAAAUACGUUGUAACGAAGCCAUGGCGAAUUUUUAAGUAAAAAUAGUUAAAAGUUAGAAAACGGAAUUUGUGUUACCCUCGACCCUUGAGCAGUUUUCUUUUCCAAAUGGUUUGUUGGAAUUUUUUUUCAUUUUGGGGGUUAUGUAGUAGGUUAAGUAAAGAGUCAGUGGACGUAAGAAUGAACACAUUCUGAGUCCGGAGGUAGGAGAUAUGCCCUUUCGAAGGAGACUAGUCAAAAUUGUCAAAAUUGGAAAACUUUUUCGGAUAGGGACUUUGUGCCACUAUUUUAGCUUGACAAUGAACUUAAAAAAGAUUUCAUCCGGGGGGAUUUGUAUUAAAUUUAACAAAGAAGAAAAUGACGUGAGAACGGACUAGUUCAGAUAACAGAUGACCGAGUUAUGACGUUGCAAAGUAGGUGUGACGAUAACGAAAAACUGCUUGAUUUUAGUUUCAGGUACAGUAAGUUUUGAACUAAAGUAGAUACUUCAUCGCUAGUUUAACCUGUCUGGAUUGGCAGAUAGAGAGUUUAAAGCUAAAACAGACAGGUUAAGCUGUCUGCUUUAUACUUGUAACGAAAAAUGAAAAAUAAAGUUGGACGCAUUGAUUAAAUCAUAAAUCGCAAACAAUAGGAAAUGGAAUAAAGUUAAUGUAAGCCAACAAUUAACGUCUUUAUGUGACUAAUUGGUAUGUGUAUAUGAACUUAAAUGUGAAGGAAAUUUGAAGGACGAGUAAAGUAAGCAGUAAAGAACGCUCAAGGCAAAUUUCCUAAACUUACUCGAAUUUUAUUGAAUCAGUUUCUAACUUGUUUAAUUUGUGAUAUUAAGAAAGUUUUCUAAUUUCAUUCAAAUGUUGAAUUGAAUGUAAAUAUUUAUUGAUCUUGUACAUAUUAUUUUUUGUGCAAGGCAUGUGUUUAAAC